GCUGGGGCUCAGUGGUAGAGUGCUUUCCUAGCAUGCAUGAGGCCCUGGGUUUGAUCCCAGCACCAAUA
Molecule: transfer RNA, 68 nt
Filed under: Marmota monax (woodchuck)
Lineage: Eukaryota; Metazoa; Chordata; Mammalia; Rodentia; Sciuridae
Description: tRNA.Ala
Source: RNAcentral